Molecule: long non-coding RNA, 2017 nt
Organism: Cottoperca gobio
Lineage: Eukaryota; Metazoa; Chordata; Actinopteri; Perciformes; Bovichtidae
Source: Ensembl
GCCAGCACUAUAAAACCAAUUAUGGAGCAAGGAGGUUGAGCCGUUUCAAGGUCCCCUCUCCCUUCAGGACUGAGUGAUCAGAACAAGCGGCGGUUUCAAGCUGCCCAUGUCACCCCCCUCCACUCCUCGCAGUGUGUCGGUUUCAAGGCGACCCUCCGGUAGGGGCAAGAAAGCGCUACGGCAGACACCAAACCGUAGAGGAAGACGAGAGGGAAGCAGCGGAGGCGAAGCUGAGCAACAGCUACGGACGGCUGCAGCGGAGAAACGGGCCCGCCCUGUGGCUGCCCGGUGUUCCGGUGAGGUCGCGACGCCCUCGGUGGUCACACCUCGAUGUUUGUUUUUUUUGCCCAGCAGGAAAAACAACCUUCACACCGAGUAAAAAGAGGCCGCUCCGCUCAGCGACCUGUCUGCUCGCAGCGCCUGUCACCCCUGACGAGACCCGGGGAGGGAAUUACCAGGCGGAGAUCAGAGUGAUGUCCCGUCCCGGGCCGUCGGAGGGGACCAAGCCAGCCUUUGUUCUCCAAAUGGCUCCGACUGGGAAUUCAGACAAUGCCUCUAGAUUAGGGCCCUAUUGUUGCUGUCUUUUCACCCCGCGCGCAGGAGGCAGGUUUCAUCUUUUCGUUUCUGUUUUUCUUGUCAAAUGCCGCGGCGCUCGUGGGGGGUUAUCUCCACUUUGAGGUGGGCUUGGCGGUUGUACGGGCUGUGGAGCGCAUUUGUGUUUUACAGAGUGGUCAUGAUUCCCUCAGAUAAUAAAGGGCAUAAUAGUUUUUCUUGUCCAUUAAUGUCCCAUGUUUUACACACGGGGUUAAUCCAACAGUAGCUUCAAUUUAGAGAUAUAAUCUUAUAUAUCUAUUUCAUGACAAUGUGGCCGUCCUUAAUUACUGACAUGGUGGUGAAAUUAAAACACCCAUCAGCGGUUCAGCCAAAAUAAUCCAAUAAAAAAGAUGUAUAACAUAACAUAAUUCUUUAUUGCAUUCUCCACCUACAAAAUAAAUAGAAUAAGGUGUGGUUCAUGUGCAGCUUCUCACUUUCCUCAUUUGAUGGUAAUAACAUGAAUCUGAUUAUUUCUACGUUAGGACUUAUCCCAGUGAUGCGUUGCUGCAGAAGCAGAUGGGACAUUUGGUAGAUUAUGUCUUUUUAUAGCCUAUACACCAACUGGAUUCUUUGAUCAUAUUCCAAAUUAAAGCUCCAAGCUUUUCCUCUCUGUGGGCUGCGGUGGAAAAAUACUGAAAAACACAUGAUUUAUAGCCUGAAACACUGUUGAGUCAAUACAACACCACAGCCACGUUUUCAUUCCACUAACAUUGUUUUUAUUCUGCCGACCAAAGAUUACACAAAGAGAACAUUUGUUAUCCCUGACUCUUGUUUUAGGCUUUGUGUGUUUUUCUUUCUUCCCCUUGUUGUUUCUCUUAUCUUUGUCUGAACACCAUAUCUUGCAUCAUACCUCCAGCCGUGUGGCUGUCCAAAUAUCAUUGUUGGGGUUUGGGUUAAUUCUGUCCUAUCAGUUAAAGGAUCAGGUAAAUGAUUUUAUUUGGCCGGUCAGACUAUCUGGUUUUCUGCAGGCGUGUGGUUGCGUUAACCCACAGGGGACGAAGCACAGAGGCAGCAUUGAUUAAUUCAGCAGGGGGGUUAGGUCCUUUAUGGAAAAUAAAUACAUAAAUAAUUAAACAAGAAAGAUGUCACCCUGCAUAAGCAUCCACCCUUCAACAAAAGCACUUCAGUUAGCACAUUUGACUUAGGCUGCAAAUCAAGCCUGAAUUUAUGAUCCAACUAAACAUAUUUUAUACAAUACUCCUUAAAUGGACAAAUGGACAGCAGGAAUAAAUAAGAGAUAUUUUAUGUGACCCCUCACACAUCAGUGCGCCUUCAUGCCCAAAGUGCUAAAUCAUUCAUAAUACCUUGUCUCAUGCUCCACACAAGUAGCCGACUCUUAUCAAAGCCACUGCUGCUGCACUGCAGCAACGCACAGCCACUACAUGACUGUGAACAGGGCUAAUUGCAGUGUCAUGUUUUGUGA